AGAAAUGGAAGAUUUCUACAUUCUACCCAGAAGGGAGACAACAACAGGCAGAUAUCUGACUUUUUUUCUAAAGCUAAUACAAUCUGGGUCCUCAGCAAAAAGUGCAUACAUCCUUAUCUUUAGGAGCCCAGUCUUAGUGCUGACCUGCAAUACUGUAGACAUGAAGGUGGUAUUUCCAACUCGUCAUCUGCAGAUGAUGUUCUCAUGAUGCUGAUGGCUGUCAUCCAUUCCCUUGAAAUGAACAUUUGCAUUUGGAAGACUGCUGGCUAGAAUGAGGGGACAGGGUGCACCAAUGGAAAAGACCCUUCGCUGUGUGCAAAAGGAUGUUUUCUCCAGCGGUGGAUGAAAUCAGUGUUUAAUGCUACACAGGCCCAGCUGUGUCCAUAUAAGGAAAGCCCAGGCUCACGUCUCUCCAUGAAAAAGGACCUGUCCUCCCCUCCCUGUGUUCUGCUUCCACCCACUGCGUGUGGAGGUGGAGAGUGGGAGCCGGGGAAUGUGAACUUGAUCCAGCACUGAUCAGCCAAGCAGCAAACUCUCAUUGUUCUUUAGAUACCAAACAUAACUUCUUUCUACUAGGGAUAAACCCAGCCGUUCUGUACAUAACACAGCUUUUGUGCUCACCAGUAUGCUAGUUGGAAAAGAACCACAAAGAAUAUUAGAGUUUUAUUAGACACCUCCUAAUAUGCAGAAUUAAGAACCUACCCAGUUAAUUUAUAUUCAUUUUAAUAUUAGGUAUGUUAGAAUCUUAUUAAAUCUAUCUUCUAGGAGUUUCUGAAUGCUUUUAUAAUUAUGGAUUUCAAUUUAUUAUGUAAAUAUUAUGGCCUGUUCUGCCUUCUAGGAGAGCAUUUCUUACCAUCACUGCCUUGAUCUCUAAGGUUCAAGGAUACUGGAAAUCAUGAUAAGGGACAACCAAAUAUGCUGUUGCUGUUUUUACAGGUCACUCUGUAAAUGUGACUUAACUGUUUCAGUUCAAAGCCAGGGUGUCAUGGGAAAUCCACAGUUGGGAACUUAGACUCUGUCAUUGCCACCAAGAAGCUCUGUGGCCUUGGACGUGCAUGUCAACCUCUGAGCUAUGAAACAGAAAUAAUGCUGCGGUGAAGAUAAAAUGAAAUGGUGCAUACAGCAAAAGGCACAAAAUAGAACAGUAGACGCAAAUCCCUUCCCCUUU
Molecule: non-coding RNA, 1168 nt
Organism: Chlorocebus sabaeus (green monkey)
Lineage: Eukaryota; Metazoa; Chordata; Mammalia; Primates; Cercopithecidae
Source: RefSeq, a predicted model, not a curated record